This 467-nucleotide ribosomal RNA is filed under the name uncultured bacterium. Its description in RNAcentral is "partial 16S ribosomal RNA". It matches the Rfam family "Bacterial small subunit ribosomal RNA", at positions 28 to 507 of the family's 1533-position model. The record is from RNAcentral.
GACGAACGCUGGCGGCGUGCUUAACACAUGCAAGUCGAACGAUGACGCCCGAGCUUGCUCGGUCUGAUUAGUGGCGAACGGGUGAGUAACACGUGAGCAACCUGCCCUUCACUCUGGGAUAACCUCGGGAAAUCGGGGCUAAUACCGGAUAUGGACUCCUGUCCCAUUGCGGGUUUUGGAAAGUUUUUCGGUGAAGGAUGGGCUCGCGGCCUAUCAGGUUGUUGGUGAGGUAGUGGCUCACCAAGGCGAUGACGGGUAGCCGGCCUGAGAGGGGGACCGGCCACACUGGGACUGAGACACGGCCCAGACUCCUACGGGAGGCAGCAGUGGGGAAUAUUGCACAAUGGGCGAAAGCCUGAUGCAGCGACGCCGCGUGAGGGAUGACGGCCUUCGGGUUGUAAACCUCUUUCAGCAGGGAAGAAGCGAAAGUGACGGUACCUGCAGAAGAAGCGCCGGCUAACUACGUG